ACUCAUGCCAUGUUUGGUUUCAUUCCAUUUAACGGUUCUCUAAAAGAAGUCAUUUGUAUGCAUUUCCCAUAGGGUCCUAUGUUAAACUAAGUCCCCUGCUGGCGGCCAUCUUGGAUGAUGGAUCGGCUACAAAGUAACAACACUUGGUCAGCACCUCAUAAGGAACAUUCAUGCUAUGUUUGGUUUCAUUCCAUUUAGUGGUUCUCUAAAAG
This 212-nucleotide long non-coding RNA is filed under the name Mytilus galloprovincialis (Mediterranean mussel). The record is from RNAcentral. Lineage: Eukaryota; Metazoa; Mollusca; Bivalvia; Mytilida; Mytilidae.